AUGCCGCCCCCUCCCUCCCCCGCCUGCCGCUUCGCCGCCCAGUGGGUGGCGGAUGCCCUCGCCGGCGACGAGGCCCUCGACUUCUUCCUCAUCAAAGCGCUGGUGGGCGUCUUGCCGGAGUCCCUCGCGGGCGCACCGGAGGAGACGCGGGAGCGGGUUGCGCUCCGAUGCCUGCAGGAGGUCGUCUCCCUCGCCGCCCCGGGCGAGGGCGAGGGCGAGGGCGAGGCCGCGGCGGCGGCGGUGGCGGGGGGCGGCGGGACGCUUAGGGUUGAUGCCACACGCUCUUGCGAGGAAUUGCUGACUGAGUUGCUCGGACAGGUUGCUUGUUCAGGAAGCUUGGAGAAAGAUAUGCUUCCGCCUUUUAGCAAGGAUAUCCAAAAGUUUAUAUGCAUCAAGACACCGGCUUUACCAGAAACUUCUUUUGAGCUGCUUAGAGAAGUGAACACAGACAUCGCGUGUAUGGUCCCACCGCCCCCAGUGGAGAAGGGUGGCAAGAACAAUGGCAAUGACCAGUCGUUGCCCAGUAUCAACCCUGAUCAUCAUGUAAAUGCAGAGAGGCAUGGGGGCCCUAGAGAUAGUUCUGAUUUUCAGCGAGAGAGUGUAACCGAUUUUGUCAACGGAACUUUCACAAGAAAUGUGCAGAAGGAUCCUAUGGUGCCAACUCCCGAUUACCGUGAACCAUCUACGCUGUACAGUAGGUGUUACGACCGCCCUCAAGAAGAUACCAUUGGUGUUGGUGUCAGUGUCAGAUCCGCACAAACGAGUCCAAGUAGUGAUAAUAGAAACAGGUCCAUUACAACUGAGCCUGCUUCAGCUAUCUGCAGUGCUGCUUUGCUUCGAGGUAAUACUGAACUUAUGUCAAAGCAGGUUGCGGCGGAGACUACCAUGUCCCAAGAAAAGAGUCCAACUACCAUUCUUCAACGAGAAUCCUGUGGAGACAAGAACAAAAACUCAUUCCACGAUAAUGAUGGAGAGAGAUCACAUGGUAAUGGCACCAACAUUCAUUUAUCAAAGAAUCUCAGCCAUGAAGGAUUGACCAUGCAGGCUACGGUGGCUCCAGAUUCUGAUAGAAACACUGACGCUUUACUGGCAAAUACAUCUGAAACAAGAUCCUUGCCUGAGUUUGUUGCUGCAGAUGGUACAGGCGUAAUUGCAGAACUACAUGGCAGAAAAACUCGAAGGAGUUCACCGCAACAUGAGAGCAGUGAGAAAGCAAGUCAUGUUUUGGAUGAGGGUAGUGCUAGGAUUGAGCCAGUGGAAAAGGAUUCUGGUCAUAAUGAACGGAAUCUACGAACUGCUGGUGUUGUACCUUCUGUUAGCUGCAACGGGGCUGUUCAAGGAGAUAAAUCUGAAACCAACAUUCUACAAGAGAAUGCUACAGGGCCUUCUAAAUUGUUUAAGGAGAAAAAUGAUAAGGUUCUUCUGGAAGUCAGUUGUGCUGACAAAGCCAAUCCAGCACUACAUGAUGAUGGCACCAUCUUGGAAAAUAAUACAUCCGAUGGUAGGAAGACUGCUCUAGAUUCUCGCUGCAAUGCGAUGGAAACAUCAAAUGUGCACCGCUCCAAUGACAGUCCCAGUGGGUUUGCAGCCGCUUGUCUUCUAUCAUUGAUGGGCAAUAUGCUGCCCUGUAGUCAGGAUAAAGAUGCCAAUGGUUCCACUCAGGACUUUACGGAACAAGAUUUGUGCAUAAAAUGUGGUAAAGAUGGACAGUUGCUGAAAUGUAGCAGCUGCUCAUUAGUUUCUCAUGAAAGCUGUUUUGGGUCAUCAGUGACAUUUGAUGUUUCUGGCCAGUUUUAUUGCCCUGUAUGUUUCUAUACUAAAGCUAGUGAAGCAUAUCAAAAGGCUAAAAAAACAUAUUUGGAAGCUAGGAAGAACCUAUCUGCUUUCCUUGGCACAAACCAAUUCCCAAAGGAACACCAUGAACAAUCUACUGGAAAACAGCAAACAGCUACCAAUAGCAAGGAUCACUCGAAUGAGCAUAAUACAUCCAAAAGGCAAGGUCAGUCUGAAGCAGAUGACCUUUCUCAUAAGGGUGAAGAACCUGGUGAGCAGAGGAAAAAGCAGAGAACAAAUGAUACAAGUGAUGUACAUCCUGAAGAGGGUCAGCUGAAUGGGUGUGAUGCUUCCAAAAGGCAAGGUAACCAUCAGUCCGAUACAUAUAAUCUUUCUCAUAAGGAACCUGGUCAGCAGAGGAAGCAGAAAACAAAUGCUACAAGUGACGCUUGUCCUGAGGGCGUAAUCGCUGAAAAGGCAUCUUUUGGUCUGAAUUGUGAUAUUGCACCCAAUAAAGAUUGUGUACUCCAAAAUAAAAGAAAACAAGUUGAGCAGUCUGUGGAAGGUGCAGAAGCCCAUGAAGAUGGUAAUGGCAAUUCAUUCUAUGAUGCGCAACAUUCAUCUCAGAAUAGAUGCAGUCCUGUUGCCAACCAGAGUGUUGAGGCUGAAAAACAUGACAGUCUUACAAAUUCUCACGACCCCAAAAGUUCUGAUGAAAUAGAAGCCACGUCUUCAAAUAAUUCUGGCCAUCGGUCGUCGCCUCCUUGGCGAAACAUGAGACACCACAAAGCAAGAUCCCAAGAAAAGGAGACAGUGGUAUCUUAUAAUUCUAAAAAAGCAUUGCGAUGCCAGGAUCAGCAGAUGCCUUCACCAUCAAGCAAACGAUAUCAACCCAAGCGUUACUGUAAUUCUCUUGCACCACCUGGAAGGCGCCCAAAGCUCUGUUGGACAGAAGAAGAAGAGCAAGCUUUGAGGGAUGCAAUGUUAAAUUUCACCCCAAAGGAUGAUGCACCAAUUCCGUGGACUCAGAUAUUAGAAUAUGGCAAGGAUACAUUUCACAGGUCACGCCUUGCGAGUGAUCUGAGAGUCAAAUGGAGGAAUAUGAAGAAAAAAUCAGGAUCCUAG
Molecule: ribosomal RNA, 2898 nt
Filed under: Triticum aestivum (bread wheat)
Lineage: Eukaryota; Viridiplantae; Streptophyta; Magnoliopsida; Poales; Poaceae
Description: partial small subunit ribosomal RNA
Source: RNAcentral